Molecule: long non-coding RNA, 530 nt
Organism: Diabrotica virgifera virgifera (western corn rootworm)
Lineage: Eukaryota; Metazoa; Arthropoda; Insecta; Coleoptera; Chrysomelidae
Exons: 2
Source: RefSeq, a predicted model, not a curated record
AUUAGAUACCAAUGGCUUGGUCCCUGAGAAUAACAAAAAGUUUCUUGUAACAAUGUGAUCUUUCAUUCUGCAUUUAAAUUUGUUAAAAAUACUUAGUUUCCUCAAGAUUCAAAAAAAUUACUACAUUUAAAAAGCAUUGGCACAAUAUUUUGCGCCUACCCUCAUCUUAAAAUAUGAAGUCAAUGCAACUACAAAUAAACUAGAUUUGGAAUUGAAGAAUGAAACAGGGGAAGAUGAUAAACGAAACAGGGGAAAUAAAAAAGAAGAGUAGUUCUUAAGACAAACUUACGAAAACAAAUAUUUCUCACUACCAUCGAAAACAAAAUCAAUAUAAGGUCUUUUAUAACGUCCAGUAUAUUAAAAUCCUUCCCCAUUGUUUAAAAUUGACUAAAUUGAUGAAUAAAAAGCAUUUUUAAUAAACUCACCAUCUUCAUUGGCUCCAUUCUUCUCUGCUUCAGCCUUAGCCUCUGCUUCCUUGGCCUCCUUCUCCUUUCGCUGUUGUUCCUUGAAUUUAAGUUUAAGAGCUUCAA